AUAGCCAUGCCCGAGUUUACACCGAUGACCACCGCCAUGUUUACAUCCGGAUCAACAACAACGGGAGGGGACGGGAUACGAUCUAGAGCGAGAGGCCGCCGGACUCCUCGUCCUCGUCGAGGUCCGAGGUGUAGACGGUGUAGAGCGACCAGAUGAGGCCGAAGACCCCCAGGAGGAUCCACCCCAGCAGGUUGUUGCUGAGCCCCAGGCUCAGCCCGGUGCCCUCCGUCGACAUCCUCUCGUCCACGAGCGCCAGCGCCGGCCCCGCCGACGCGGUCACCGCGCCCGCCGCCGCCAGCAGCGACGCGCCCGCGCCCUUGGCGCUCA
RNAcentral lists this long non-coding RNA (327 nucleotides) under Setaria italica (foxtail millet). Its description in RNAcentral is "long non-coding RNA (SITA_LNC004028)". Lineage: Eukaryota; Viridiplantae; Streptophyta; Magnoliopsida; Poales; Poaceae. The record is from RNAcentral.